Molecule: RNA transcript, 1162 nt
Organism: Cannabis sativa
Lineage: Eukaryota; Viridiplantae; Streptophyta; Magnoliopsida; Rosales; Cannabaceae
Gene name: purple acid phosphatase 2
Exons: 5
Source: RefSeq, a predicted model, not a curated record
CUAGGGGCAUUUCAAUUCAUGCGUCCAUAAUUAGUUGUUAUUACAGACGCAAUAAUUAGUGAAUUGGACUGCAAAAGAGUGAAGGGAUGAGAUUAAUUUUGUAGGCGCUACAAAAAUGUCUACAAAAGUAAAUAUAUAUUUCCAGGCGCCUUAAAAGCAUCCACAAUUAAGUUUUUCCUUACACAGACGAGUCUUUCACUUAGGCUCAUUUUAUGACCAUUCAUCGUCAUUGUUGCCACUGCCGUUGCAUCUCCAUUACUAUCACCACUGGUUCUUCAUCGCCAUUGUCGUUGCCUCCACUGUCGUCGUUGGAAUAUCGUUGUUGGUGCUACCUCUCCGUUAACGUCUCCAUUUUUGCUGCUUCUCUUCUCUAUAAAUUUCUCUCUCUAUCUCUCUGUCACCUUAUCUCCAUUUUUUUUUUGGUUCCCCUAUAUCUUAGGGUUUUGCGAUUGAAAUCACUGGCUUUCCUCCUUCUUUAUUCAGCCAAGAACACCAAAGAAUCAAGGGAUUUGUCUUUAAGAUUUGCUCACCAUUUUCCAAGAUUCAAGAUUAAUUGCAGACAAGCAGAGGUUGAACCUGAGAGAAUACGAGUUGGUGUCACUAUUGAGGCACAUAGCAUUUUGAGAUCAUGUGGGCGAGGGUGUGAUUGUCUCUUGGAUUACUCCAAAUGAACCUGGCUCAAGUACACUACUUUACUGGUCAGAAAAGAGCCACCUGAAUUACAGUGCCCAGGGCAUUUUUAUUACUUACAGCUACUUCAACUACACUUCUGGUUACCUCCAUCACUGCACCAUUGACGAUUUGGAGUUUGACACCAAUUUCUAUCAAGUUGGAAUUGGUAAUACCACAAGGAAAUUUUGGUUUAUUACUUUUCCAGGUCUUGGUCCGGAUGUUCCCUACACUUUUGGCAUUAUUGGUAACCAUACCUAAAUCAUAUAUUUGAUUUCAAUUUGUAAUAAGGUUUCAUUUAAUGUUUGAUCUUCAAUAUAAAAUGGCCUUACUUAUUUUUUUGGGGGGGAGGGCAGGGGAUAUUGGCCGAUCUCAUGAUUCAAACAGAACACUUACACAUUAUGAGUUAAACCCUGCAAAAGGGCAAAUCGUAUUGUUUGUUGGGGACAUUAUGUAUAGUACGGUGAAUUAAUUAAGUAUUUUUUUUUUGGCA